UCUGACUAUAUUGCUGUCGGCCUUAGGAGGCAGGUUGACAUGGCCUGAGAUCCUUGGGGGAUUCGGAAAUCCUGGAGUGGGGAUGGAGACCACCACUCUCGCCCGGCAGGUGCCACGUGGGGAAAACAGCGGGCGGGCCUCCUUCACACAGGACUAGCAUUCUUCUGGGACUCUGCCUGCGCCCCUGAAAGGACGCCCUUGAAGCUCCGACAGACGUCUCAAGUUCACACUUCAAAACGCAAAUUCCCGGACCCCCGACACACUCCACACCUGCUCCUCUGACAUCCUUCUCGCUGCUCAGUCCAAACACCCAGCUGCUCCCCUUAACUCCUCUUGGACCCUCCACAUCCACCCUCUCCGGGCUGAAGCCCACGGAAGUCCUUAGCCCUUGGUGGCCGUGGCAUGAAGGACCCAGCUCCCAGAGGAGUCUAGAAUUUGUCUCGCUGCCAUGGAUCCAGUUAUACACAUGUUACUGCUGAUGUUUUCUGGCCCCUCCUAUCCCUCCUCCUGAUAAAUUCCCUGGGUUUGUACCAUGGGCUGCCUGCCUCUGCUUCCCUGCUGGACAUUCAGUCCUCCCGAGAGUGAGAUUCUCCAAAGCUUAACUUGCCUGGCAAGUCCUCGACUCCCACCCCCUUACCCGCAGCCCGAUUUCUUAUGCACCUGCUGCUAAGUAAGAUGCUUCUGUGAGAGGUCAGAUGGCUUAAAGUCUGGCCCCGAUUUCCCGCUGACUCUGAGUUCUACAUCCUGCCUACACUCUUGGUUUAAAUCAGCAUUACUUCCUGCCACAUCGGAUCGUCCCUGUCACUGAUACAUCGUAAGCCAAACUCUCUUUUGCUCAGGGGGGCAAUUGCACAGAAAUCGAAAUAGAGCGAGGGAGCCGGCUGUGCAGACGUUCCCGGCGAAGAGAGGUAAAUGGUUUAGGCAAAGAAAAGAAUGGCUAAUGUUAGAAUUUGAAGAGGGGUAGAUAUUGGGGCGGAUGGGAUCCUUUCACAUGACAGUCAACAGCACCAACGUUUUCGUUUGUUUUGUUUGGUGCUUUUGUUUUUGCUUUUUUUAUACAGGGAGUCAUUUUACACUUUUUGCACACCCAAAAAAGGUAGAUAUCAAUAGGAAGAGCACAAGGCCUGCAUUCGAAGCCUUCGACUUUAUACCUUCCUACUUCCCCUUACUAUCUGCGUGGCCUCGGGUAUGUCACUGCACUCGAGACACCGAAUUCAACUGUAGCAACGGGGAGAUGAUAACAAAUGAAACUGCUGUGUGUCAGGCACACCCCACCGAAUGCUUACACCCCCCGUUUUCCAAGCGACCCUGAAAGAUGGAGCUACUAUCCCCAUGUCAGAGGUGGACGGGUCGUUUUCCUCUGCGUCGCCCAGGCCCAGUGAAAGUGCUUUGUGAAUGGUAAGCCACCUGCCAGUGGUCAGUCACACGCGAGGCCAGGUUGGUUCUCCGCUUCCCAAACCAGCGCGUGGGCUCCUGAAAUCACGACGCUGCCAGAGAUCCGAAUGCGCUUGCGUUGGGCGUGAAUGUUACCGUUUGACAAGUGUUUAAAAAACAGUUUUUAAGGAAACCGAUCUUCUGGAGUACAAUGCAAAUUGUAUAUGUACAAGAUAAAAACAAAACUUUGGAGAGACAGCGGGGCCUUUGUCUCCUUAUACGGUAUAUAAAAUGUAUCAGAAUGUGAUUGCUAUUAUGUAAGAGGCUUCUGCGAAGAUGAAAUUCUUAAGGAGAAGGGGGAAACAAACAAAAAACAAGGAACUGGAGGGGCGCCUGGGUGGCUCAGUCGGU
This is a long non-coding RNA of Leopardus geoffroyi (Geoffroy's cat), 1785 nucleotides long. RefSeq lists it as uncharacterized. The record is from RefSeq and is a predicted model, not a curated record. NCBI's taxonomy places the organism in Eukaryota, Metazoa, Chordata, Mammalia, Carnivora, Felidae. The transcript is spliced from 3 exons.